ACUCCUACGGGAGGCAGCAGUAGGGAAUAUUAGAAAUGGACGAAAGUCUGAUCUAGCAACACCGCGUGUGCGAAGAAGGCCUUCGGGUCGUAAAGCACUUUUUGGAAGGAAUAGGAAGGAAUGUACUUCCAGAAUAAGUCUCGGCUAACUACGUGCCAGCAGCCGCGGUAACACGUAGGAGGCGAACGUUAUCCGGAUUUACUGGGCGUAAAGCGCGUGUAGGUGGUACUGUAAGUAGGGCGUGAAAGCUCCUGGCUCAACUGGGAGAGGCCGUUCUAAACUACAGAACUAGAGGAUGGUAGAGGGAGGUGGAAUUCCAGGUGUAGCGGUGGAAUGCGCAGAUAUCUGGAGGAACACCGGUGGCGAAGGCGGCCUCCUGGACCAUUCCUGACACUCAGACGCGAAAGCUAGGGUAGCAAACGGGAUUAGAGACCCCGGUAGUCCUAGCCCUAAACGAUGUAGACUAGGCGUCGGAAGCUUAAUCGCUUUCGGUGUCCAAGCUAACGCGAUAAGUCUACCGCCUGGGGACUACGGCCGCAAGGUUAAAACUCAAAGGAAUUGACGG
This 565-nucleotide ribosomal RNA is filed under the name uncultured bacterium. RNAcentral describes it as "bacterial SSU rRNA". It matches the Rfam family "Bacterial small subunit ribosomal RNA", at positions 335 to 916 of the family's 1533-position model. The record is from RNAcentral.